CUCCUACGGGAGGCAGCAGUAGGGAAUCUUGCACAAUGGGCGAAAGCCUGAUGCAGCAACGCCGCGUGAAGGAUGAAGGCCUUCGGGUUGUAAACUUCUGUACUAAGGGAAGAAGAAAGUGACGGUACCUAAGGAGAAAACCCCGGCUAACUACGUGCCAGCAGCCGCGGUAAUACGUAGGGGGCAAGCGUUAUCCGGAAUUAUUGGGCGUAAAGAGUGCGUAGGUGGUUAUCUAAGCGUAAGGUUUAAGCGUGCAGCUCAACUGCAUCUCGCCUUGCGAACUGGACUACUUGAGUGCAGGAGGGGAAAGCGGAAUUCCUAGUGUAGCGGUGAAAUGCGUAGAUAUUAGGAGGAACACCAGCGGCGAAGGCGGCUUUCUGGACUGUAACUGACACUGAGGCACGAAAGCGUGGGGAGCAAACAGGAUUAGAUACCCUGGUAGUCCACGCCGUAAACGAUGAGCACUAGAUGUUGGUCCCGAAGGGAUCAGUGUCGCAGUUAACGCAAUAAGUGCUCCGCCUGGGGAGUACGCUCGCAAGAGUAAAACUCAAAGGAAUUGACGGGGACCCGCACAAGCAGCGGAGCAUGUGGUUUAAUUCGAAGCAACGCGAAGAACCUUACCAGGACUUGACAUCCCGAUGACCGUUCCUUAACCGGAACUUCUCUACGGAGCAUCGGUGACAGGUGGUGCAUGGUUGUCGUCAGCUCGUGUCGUGAGAUGUUGGGUUAAGUCCCGCAACGAGCGCAACCCUUGUCGUCAGUUACUAACAUUCAGUUGAGGACUCUGGCGAGACUGCCGAGGUUAACUCGGAGGAAGGUGGGGAUGACGUCAAAUCAUCAUGCCCCUUAUGUUCUGGGGCUACACACGUGCUACAAUGGUCGGUACAAUGAGAUGCAAACCUGUGAGGGGGAGCAAAUCACCAAAACCGAUCCCAGUUCGGAUUGUAGGCUGAUACUCGCCUACAUGAAGUUGGAGUUGCUAGUAAUCGCAGAUCAGAAUGCUGCGGUGAAUGCGUUCCCGGGCCUUGUACACACCGC
RNAcentral lists this ribosomal RNA (1038 nucleotides) under uncultured bacterium. RNAcentral's name for it is "bacterial SSU rRNA". It matches the Rfam family "Bacterial small subunit ribosomal RNA", at positions 336 to 1393 of the family's 1533-position model. The record is from RNAcentral.